Molecule: ribosomal RNA, 460 nt
Filed under: uncultured bacterium
Lineage: Bacteria
Description: partial 16S ribosomal RNA
Rfam family: Bacterial small subunit ribosomal RNA
Source: RNAcentral
CCUACGGGCGGCAGCAGUGAGGAAUAUUGGUCAAUGGACGAGAGUCUGAACCAGCCAAGUAGCGUGAAGGAUGACUGCCCUCUGGGUUGUAAACUUCUUUUAUAUGGGAAUAAAAUGUUCAACGUGUGGGAUUUAGUCUGUAACAUAUGCAUAAGAAUCGGCUAACUCCGUGCCAGGAGCCGCGGUAAUACGGAGGAUCCGAGCGUUAUCCGGAUUUAUUUGGUUUAAAGGGAGCGUAGGUGGAUUGUUAAGUCAGGUGUGAAAGUUUGCGGCUUAAACGUAAAUUUGCAGUUGAAACUGGCAGUCUUGAGUACAGUAGAGGUGGGUGGAAUUCGUGGUGUAGCGGUGAAAUGCUUAGAUAUAUCGAAGAACUCCGAUGGCGAAGGCAGCUCACUGGCCUGCAACUGACACUGAGGCUCGAAAGUGUGGGUAUCAAACAGGAUUAGAUACCCUUGUAGUC